AUUGAACGCUGGCGGCAUGCUUUACACAUGCAAGUCGAACGGUAACAGGCCGCAAGGUGCUGACGAGUGGCGAACGGGUGAGUAAUGCAUCGGAACGUGCCCAGUCGUGGGGGAUAACGCAGCGAAAGCUGUGCUAAUACCGCAUACGAUCUAUGGAUGGAAGCGGGGGACCGUAAGGCCUCGCGCGAUUGGAGCGGCCGAUGUCAGAUUAGGUAGUUGGUGGGGUAAAGGCCCACCAAGCCAACGAUCGGUAGCUGGUCUGAGAGGACGACCAGCCAGACUGGGACUGAGACACGGCCCAGACUCCUACGGGAGGCAGCAGUGGGGAAUUUUGGACAAUGGGCGCAAGCCUGAUCCAGCAAUGCCGCGUGCAGGAAGAAGGCCUUCGGGUUGUAAACUGCUUUUGUACGGAACGAAAAGGUCUGGGUUAAUACCCUGGGCUGAUGACGGUACCGUAAGAAUAAGCACCGGCUAACUACGUGCCAGCAGCCGCAGUAA
This 498-nucleotide ribosomal RNA is filed under the name uncultured bacterium. Its description in RNAcentral is "partial 16S ribosomal RNA". It matches the Rfam family "Bacterial small subunit ribosomal RNA", at positions 29 to 523 of the family's 1533-position model. The record is from RNAcentral.